CAAUCUGACUGCUGCUGUGUCUGCUCCAAACAUCUGUGUGCUGCUCUCCAUGAGCACCACACUACCUGUAAAACAUUUACACAGAUGAACUGAACUGGUCAGCAGAAGGUUGCUGGAUCAAUCUCUGCAGUCGUCUCCACCGGUGUGUCUUUACUCCAGGUGACUCAGGGAUUACAGGAUUGAGGUCCCUGUAAUAAGAGCACUAUCCUCUCGCUGGCUCUGGGCUCACUGAGGAUGAAGAGACCACAGCAGCAUCCGGUCCUGAUGAGAAAACAAGAGCAGGUGGAGUGAUGGAGCAUCU
Molecule: long non-coding RNA, 301 nt
Organism: Cyprinus carpio carpio
Lineage: Eukaryota; Metazoa; Chordata; Actinopteri; Cypriniformes; Cyprinidae
Source: Ensembl